This 492-nucleotide ribosomal RNA is filed under the name uncultured bacterium. RNAcentral describes it as "partial 16S ribosomal RNA". It matches the Rfam family "Bacterial small subunit ribosomal RNA", at positions 29 to 507 of the family's 1533-position model. The record is from RNAcentral.
AGUGAACGCUGGCGGUAUGCCUAACACAUGCAAGUCGAACGGCAGCACAGUAAGAGCUUGCUCUUACGGGUGGCGAGUGGCGGACGGGUGAGGAAUACAUCGGAAUCUACUUUUUCGUGGGGGAUAACGUAGGGAAACUUACGCUAAUACCGCAUACGACCUACGGGUGAAAGCAGGGGAUCUUCGGACCUUUCGCGAUUGAAUGAGCCGAUGUCGGAUUAGCUAGUUGGCGGGGUAAAGGCCCACCAAGGCGACGAUCCGUAGCUGGUCUGAGAGGAUGAUCAGCCACACUGGAACUGAGACACGGUCCAGACUCCUACGGGAGGCAGCAGUGGGGAAUAUUGGACAAUGGGCGCAAGCCUGAUCCAGCAAUACCGCGUGGGUGAAGAAGGCCUUCGGGUUGUAAAGCCCUUUUGUUGGGAAAGAAAAGCAGCAGGUUAAUACCCCGCUGUUCUGACGGUACCCAAAGAAUAAGCACCGGCUAACUUCGUG